GGGAUGGUGGCUCAGUGGUAGAGCACUUGCCUUGCAUGCAUGAGGCCCUGGGUUCGAUUCCUCAGUACCA
This 70-nucleotide transfer RNA is filed under the name Dipodomys ordii (Ord's kangaroo rat). It matches the Rfam family "tRNA". Rfam says of the family: Transfer RNA (tRNA) molecules are approximately 80 nucleotides in length. The record is from Rfam by way of RNAcentral. Lineage: Eukaryota; Metazoa; Chordata; Mammalia; Rodentia; Heteromyidae.